This 359-nucleotide long non-coding RNA is filed under the name Triticum aestivum (bread wheat). RNAcentral describes it as "long non-coding RNA (TAES_LNC014369)". The record is from RNAcentral. Lineage: Eukaryota; Viridiplantae; Streptophyta; Magnoliopsida; Poales; Poaceae.
GCCUUAAUUGUUUUGGGAUCUCUGGUGUUACCUAAAUAGUCGUUACACCAGUAUCUUUUUUGCCGUAGCUGACUGCAUUGUAGAUGUGUGAAUCCCAUUGCCAUAAUAGUGCUCCUUCUCCUGACCAAGCCGAUGCUUCAACCAGCUGUUACAACUGCUAGACUUAUCAUGCAGAGCGAUCAUCGGAUGGUGAGAGUACUGCAUGAGAAUCAUAAUCAAAAUACAAAUUAAGCAAAUGAAAUACCAAUAGGGAGAAAUAUAGUUUGCAGAAGAAUCAUAACCCCAUACCUCUUUUAUUUGUCAUCUUGUGAAUCAUACAACCUAAAUUUUGUGAACUUUAAGUGAGCUUGUGACACCUG